UCUGUUGUUCCCCCACCCACACUCUGUCUCUCUCACAUGCCUGACUUUUCAUUUCUAAAACUCUCCUCACGCAUCCACAGCUUCACCUCUUUCAUUCACUUGUUUUCAUGAUUGGACUCGCGGAUCUGCUCAGCGAACACCAUGAGGACCAAAGCCUUCCCAGUUCUGUCUUUACUCAUGCUGGCUCUCCUGAUUCCUGCAUCUUAUUCUAGUAAUUCAACACAAACUGGGCCCACCAAUUCCUCCUCUACUCUCUCAAACAACACAACAGCAUCUACUGAAGCUCCACCUUCUGUAAGUCCUUUAUCUAAUGACACACAAGCAAAGGAAGAGGUCAGCACAGCCUCAACUCAGGAAUCAGUCUCAUUGUCACAUAUCCCUAAAACGAGUCUACUUCAUCCAUCUAACUCAACAACAUGCCAAAACACAACUGCUUCCCCCACCGAACACAGCAGAGGCUGGUUAGUUUUGAUUCUGUUGGUCAUUAUGGUGUUGGCGGUGCUUGUGGGAUAUCUCCAUGAGAAAAAGGAACCAGCAGCCAAGUCAGGAAAGCGCCGUCAACAUGUUUCUACUGGGUGUGAGAGACAGACUGAGGACCAGGAUCGGUAACCCGGAGGAGAGGAUGGGUGUUCGCCUGUGGCCUGGAGGGAAGACAGGAGAGGAGGAAGAUGUGGAGGAAGCAGACGAAGGACAGACAGAGGAGGCAGGACAGCAGAGAGACAGAGAUGGAGAAGGAAACAAACUGAUCAGGGAAAUUGAGAGUGACUGGUUGGACUGGAGUAAAUGUCUGGUUAUUAAAGAUUCCAAUGUUUCUUCUGAACAUGAUGCUGAACAGUUUGUUUUCUUCCGUGUAACAUUUGUAAUGCAAAAAACUGCACACCAAGAUCAAAAACACCACAGACAGAAUAUUUCUAUGAUCUGUUUGACAACCUGUAUUCAGUGAAGUUUGACUUGGAGAGAUCCUUCUGGUGAGGGCAGUGGGACAAGAAAUAAGCAACGUAAAAAUAGGAUUCUAAAAGACAUUUUUAUCAUUGUAAAAGAGAUCACCAUGGAUAAUCAAUCCAUUAAUAUGGUCAAUAAGUCAUCUUUUGUUUUGGCUCAGGUUUCUUUCUAUUACUGAAUCACGAUGACACACGUUUUCAAGGUAUUUAAAAUCUUUAGUAGUUGAAAGGUUAGUAGUCAGAUUAAAACCUCCAGUCAUUUUUUACAUGUUGGAAAUUAAAUUAAAAUUUGAAUAUUUUUCUGCU
This is a long non-coding RNA of Acanthochromis polyacanthus (spiny chromis), 1247 nucleotides long. RefSeq lists it as uncharacterized. Lineage: Eukaryota; Metazoa; Chordata; Actinopteri; Pomacentridae. The transcript is spliced from 2 exons. The record is from RefSeq and is a predicted model, not a curated record.